GCUCCGGUGGUCUAGUGUUUAGAGCGUCUGCCUAAGAUGCAGGGGGUCACGGGUGCGAAUUCCGAUUGAGUCA
This is a non-coding RNA of Potamilus streckersoni, 73 nucleotides long. Lineage: Eukaryota; Metazoa; Mollusca; Bivalvia; Unionida; Unionidae. The record is from the annotation of a GenBank genome assembly.